Molecule: ribosomal RNA, 912 nt
Filed under: uncultured archaeon
Lineage: Archaea
Description: bacterial SSU rRNA
Rfam family: Archaeal small subunit ribosomal RNA
Source: RNAcentral
UUCGGUUGAUCCUGCCGGAGGCUACCGCUAUUGGAGUUCGAUUAAGCCAUGCGAGUCUAGAGGCCUAGCCUCGGCGUACCGCUCAGUAACACGUGGGUAACCUACCCUAUGCUGGGGAAUAAGCUCGGGAAACUGAGAAUAAUGCCCCAUAGUCCACUACGCCUGGAACGGUGAGUGGAUCAAAGCUCCGGCGGCAUAGGAUGGGCCUGCGGCGUAUCAGGUUGUAGGGGGUGUAAUGUACCCUCUAGCCAUCCACGCGUACGGGUGUUGGGAGACAUUGCCCGGAGAUGGAUUCUGAGACACGAAUCCUGACCCUACGGGGUGCAGCAGGCGCGAAAACUUGGCAAUGCGAGAAAUCGUGACCAGGGAACUCCAAGUGGCAGGGGUAAGACCCUGUCUUUUUCCGACUCUAAAUAGGUCGGCGAAUAAGGGGUGGGUAAGGACGGUGCCAGCCGCCGCGGUAAUACCGGCGCCUCAAGUGGUAGUCGCUUUUAUUGGGCCUAAAACGUCCGUAGCCGGUCUGGUACAUUCGUGGGUAAAUCAACUCGCUCAACGAGUUGAAUUCUGCGAGGACGGCCAGACUUGGGACCGGGAGAGGUGUGGGGUACUCUCAGGGUAGGGGUAAAAUCCUGUCAUCCUGAGAGGACCACCUGUUGCGAAGGCUCCACACUAGAACGGAUCCGACGGUCAGGGACGAAGCCUAGGGGCACGAACCGGAUUAGAUACCCGGGUAGUCCUAGGUGUAAACGCUGUGGACUUGAUGUUGGGGACGCUCCGAGCGUUCUCAGUGUCGAAGCGAAGGUGAUAAGUCCACUGCCUGGGGAGUACGGUCGCAAGGCUGAAACUUAAAGGAAUUGGCGGGGGAGCACCGCAACCUGAGGAUUGUGCGGUUUAAUUGGAUUCAACGCCGGA